GAGUCCCUAUUUAUAGAAAAUGGGGACCAUUGUAUUUGUGCCAAGUGGCAAAAUUCGAUGAGGAGAGAGAGUUAAGUGGAAGAUGAGUGAUUUAAAGCGAUGCGACGACGGCAUAAAAAACAGAGGAGGAAUCCUCAACCGGCAAUGACUCUCCAACCAAGGUGGCGACGCACUGCCCUAGAUGGCAGUGCGCCUCACCAAGCCAACUACGUGCUGCAGGCCUAGCCUACAGGCACCGGCUUACCCUACAGCGCACAGAGCCUGCAGCGCGCAAGGCGCUUCACACAGGCCUACUGCGCAUAGACCCAAGUGCACAGACCUAUCCACUUCGGCCUACUGCACGGACGGUGCGCACACAGGGUGUGUAGCGCUUGGCCCUAUUGGCGCGCGAUGUAACAU
RNAcentral lists this long non-coding RNA (399 nucleotides) under Carica papaya (papaya). RNAcentral's name for it is "long non-coding RNA (CPAP_LNC005870)". The record is from RNAcentral. Lineage: Eukaryota; Viridiplantae; Streptophyta; Magnoliopsida; Brassicales; Caricaceae.